ACCCAUAGGAGAUGCAUUUCCUCCUAAGUUGGUUUUAGUUUCACCCAUAGGAGAUGCAUUUCCUCCUAAGUUUGUUUUUACCCAUAGGAGAUGCAUUUCCUCCUAAAAUUGUUUUUACCCAUAGGAGACGCAUUUCCUCCUAAGUUUGUUUUAGUUUCACCCAUAGGAGAUGCAUUUCCUUCUAAGUUGGUUUUAGUUUCACCCAUAGGAGAUGCAUUUCCUCCUAAGUUUAUUUUACCCAUAGGAGAUGCAUUUCCUCCUAAGUUGUUGUUAAAAAAAAAAAGACCUAGUCUGAUGAACCUUCUCCUAGGAUCAAAAUCUUAGUCUGACAAAUUUUUCUCCUAAGAUAGAGACCUAGUCUGACGAACCUUCUCCUAGGAUCAAAAUCUUAGUCCGAUGAAUUUUUCUCCUAAGAUAGAGACCUAGUCUGACGAACCUUCUCCUAGGAUCCAAAUCUUAGUCUGAUGAAUCUUUCUCCUAAGAUGCUAAAAAAAACGUUUGAAAAAAAAAAGUCAUUUUCCUAAACCCAGGCGCCCACCUGUAUAACGAGAGGAAUACAUUUCAGUAUUUUUCAUUUCAAGUGCUGAAGCCAGGCGCCCACCUGUAUAACGAGAGGAAUACAUUUCAGUCUUUGCAUUUCAUGUUCCAGGCGCCCACCUGUAUAACGAGAGGAAUACAUUUCAGUCUUUACAUUUCAAGCAUUGAAGUUAGGCGCCCACCUGUAUAACAAGGGAAUACAUUUUAGGUUAUAUUUUAUUUUAGGAGACUCACUUCCUAAAU
This 780-nucleotide long non-coding RNA is filed under the name Nicotiana tabacum (common tobacco). Its description in RNAcentral is "long non-coding RNA (NTAB_LNC004011)". Lineage: Eukaryota; Viridiplantae; Streptophyta; Magnoliopsida; Solanales; Solanaceae. The record is from RNAcentral.